UUGUAUAUACCACAUUGAAAACACCGGUUCUCGUCCGAUCACCGAAGUUAAGCAAUGUCGGGCCCGGUCAGUACUUGGGAGGGUGACCACCUGGGAACACCGGGUGCUGUAGGCU
This 115-nucleotide ribosomal RNA is filed under the name Cordylochernes scorpioides. Lineage: Eukaryota; Metazoa; Arthropoda; Arachnida; Pseudoscorpiones; Chernetidae. The record is from RNAcentral.